Molecule: ribosomal RNA, 253 nt
Filed under: uncultured Ktedonobacter sp.
Lineage: Bacteria; Bacillati; Chloroflexota; Ktedonobacteria; Ktedonobacterales; Ktedonobacteraceae
Description: partial 16S ribosomal RNA
Rfam family: Bacterial small subunit ribosomal RNA
Source: RNAcentral
GACGUAGGGGGCGAGCGUUGUCCGGAGUUACUGGGCGUAAAGGGCAUGCAGGCGGUGGCGCGCGUUUUGUGUGACAGCGGAUGGCUUAACUAUCCGAGCAUACGAAAGACGGCGGCACUUGAGAGCGCGAGAGGGACACGGAAUUCCGGGUGGAGUGGUGAAAUGCGUAGAGAUCCGGAGGAACACCGAAGGCGAAGGCAGUGUCCUGGCGCGUAUCUGACGCUGAGGUGCGAAAGCCAGGGGAGCGAACGGG